ACUAGUGCGUGAAGGACUUUUCCCCUUUCUUCUUCCCCGAGCACGAAUCCAUGGCAGCACGCAGCACAGGUUUGUCCCGGUCGUUGGCGUCUUCGUGGCCCCGCCGCAAACCUUGGUCCUCCGAUCCUGUACAGAGAGUCGCCGUAUGCGUACGACCCGCCGCUCAAUUGCAGAAUACCCCUCGAUGGAUUUCCUGGGAGAAAAUAUAACAAAUGCAUGCCAAGGACGGUAAGAUUUUCUGCAGUGCUCUCUUUUUUCUGGUUGGUAGAGCAAGGUUUUGUAGUUUAUUUCCAUUGCAUUUGCUAUGUUUGUCGGUAGGGCUAUGUUAGGCCAGAGAGAAGCAUGAGAAAAAAAGUAUUUUGUAUCGGGAGUACCUUUUUUAUCAGUGACAAUUUGUCUGAAUAUUAUCUAAAAAAUGCAAGUGUUUGUCUGUCUGAAAUAAGUCUGUAUGUGUGUUUUCAGUUUGACAGCAAAAACGAAAUUCUGCCAUACGCCACAACAACAUGAAGCAAUGAACUUGGCUUUCAUAACAACAUCCAUCAUAUACAAAAGAUUAUAUAAUAUGCACUAGAGUCUUUCUAGUUAGUCAGACUGAUUUUGACAUAUUCUAAAACAUAAACUAAAGUUUAACAUGUCCAAAAGACAGCUACAGCCACUAGGAAAAUGGUAGCUGGCGUCUUGAACUGCCACUACUUACUAGUAGCUGAUUAGCUAAGGGGAGGUUUGCUGUUGCUUGUUGCUACAAUAGAACCCUAUGGUGUUCUCCCGGUCGACCGGUUACUGCAUCUCGAGCCUCAGCUCCGGAUACGCUUGUUCGCUUGAACAAACCAGCUGUUGGGUAGAUAUAUACAUUUCCUUCUUGCUGUCUCUUUGUGGGGUUGCGAUUUUUUACUCCAUGUCGGAUUUGUCGCAGAGUCUAGGAAAUGGCAAACACAGCUAUCCACUUGAAUCUGGAAAUGGCAAAUAUGUUUGGUUUGCUUUCUUGACUUGAUAGGAUCGUGAUUUGGUGGUCGAGCCUAUGUCAACCACUGGUUCCACUCAGCCGAGCAGGCCAGACAUAGGUCUUCACCUUCAGCAUCCAGUGAGAGUGUCAGGGCUCGCAAUUUAGGUUCUAGUUCCAGAUCAGCUGCCCCGCCACCAGCAGCACCACAAGCAGGGGCUGCAAACCCUUUACGUUUCGAUGCAAAUACUAUACAUUUCUCCGUAAAUGCCUGGGUAAGGAAGAAGCCACCUUUCUCUUCACAGUAGGAAUGCGUAAUUGUGUAAUAUUUGCUGUAAGUAGGAAGUUAAUUUUUUAUAUGUGCUACUGGACAAGUGAGGAGUUCUGUAAUCCACUGCAUCAUUUCGUCAUACAAAUUUGUUUGUUCUUAUAUGUGCCUUUGGACUAGCCAUUGUGGAGGGAGGGGAAGGCAGGCCUGGAUGUUAUCUACGCCGACGGUAUCAAGUGGCAAACUUUCUGUUGCGUCCUAGUUAUCUCCCAGCUUUCAUAAUUAUCACACUGUUUGUCUCAUGCUAGAUAGUUCAUUAUUUUGAUUGGUAGUUGUUGUUACACUUUUUGUAGUUGCUACUUUUUAUGUGCUCGUGGCGAAGAUAACCAAGCUCAAGAACAUAACAAUGAUUCAUUUGUUUGUCUGUUUUCGUUGCCAUUUUGAAGUGGUAAUCAGAAAAGCAAAAUGAGUGAUGAUCUUGAUUAAUUUCUAGAGUUGUUACAUGUCUCAAAUUUUAUUGAGGUCAAAAUUAUACGAAUGUGAAUAUUGGCUAUUCUGCUUCUUCCUGUCCAUUUCUUGUAUAAGCAGUUUACCAAGUCUUCUCCAAUAGUAAUGCGUAUGUCAUGUAUGUUCUUAUUCGCUCCCAAUUUCCUGAAUAUCUAUGAUCUGAAUAUGCAUAAUUUUGAUAAAUUUGGCAGGCACUCAGGAAGGUGCCAAGGAGAUGUUGGACCAAGGCGUGGAGGCACUACGAGCUGAAGAGCACAUAGCUGCAGAUGCUAGAGGCCGGCCCGGUGAGCCGAGGAUUGGAGGUAGCGCUGAUUGGUGUUUUUAUGGAGAGUUAGGAUGCCACUGUUUGGUCUUUUUAUGCAUUUUGGUUUGCUUGUAACUGUGUUUGCACUAGCUGGGAGUAAGUGACUUGGCAAGAAGUGUAGGUGUUUUAAUUGAAGGCAUGAAAAGCCAUGACAAUAUGUAUGCUCUUACAGGAUGUGCUCUAAUGCCGCUGGUUUAUUAUAAAUCUUGGAUUAGUAAUGAUGUGUAAUGCUGCUGGUUUAUUGCAAA
Triticum dicoccoides is the source of this 2267-nucleotide long non-coding RNA. RefSeq lists it as uncharacterized. NCBI's taxonomy places the organism in Eukaryota, Viridiplantae, Streptophyta, Magnoliopsida, Poales, Poaceae. The transcript is spliced from 2 exons. The record is from RefSeq and is a predicted model, not a curated record.